This 292-nucleotide ribosomal RNA is filed under the name uncultured bacterium. RNAcentral's name for it is "partial 16S ribosomal RNA". It matches the Rfam family "Bacterial small subunit ribosomal RNA", at positions 505 to 796 of the family's 1533-position model. The record is from RNAcentral.
GUGCCAGCCGCCGCGGUAAUACAGAGGGUGCGAGCGUUAAUCGGAAUUACUGGGCGUAAAGCGCGCGUAGGCGGCUUAGCAAGUCGGAUGUGAAAUCCCCGGGCUUAACCUGGGAACUGCAUUCGAAACUGCUUUGCUUGAGUAUGGGAGAGGGAGGUGGAAUUUCCGGUGUAGCGGUGAAAUGCGUAGAUAUCGGAAGGAACAUCAGUGGCGAAAGCGACCUCCUGGACCAAUACUGACGCUCAUGUGCGAAAGCGUGGGGAGCAAACAGGAUUAGAAACCCUCGUAGUCC